Molecule: ribosomal RNA, 441 nt
Filed under: uncultured marine bacterium pC2-4
Lineage: Bacteria; Pseudomonadati; Pseudomonadota; Alphaproteobacteria; Candidatus Pelagibacterales
Description: bacterial SSU rRNA
Rfam family: Bacterial small subunit ribosomal RNA
Source: RNAcentral
CAAGGUUAAAACUCAAAUGAAUUGACGGGGACCCGCACAAGUAGUGGAGCAUGUGGUUUAAUUCGAAGAUACGCGCAGAACCUUACCAACACUUGACAUGUUAGUCGCGACUCUAAGAGAUUAGAGUUUUCGGUUCGGCCGGACGAAACACAGGUGCUGCAUGGCUGUCGUCAGCUCGUGUCGUGAGAUGUUGGGUUAAGUCCCGCAACGAGCGCAACCCUCACUUUUAGUUGCCAUCAUUAAGUUGGGCACUCUGAAAGAACUGCCAGUGAUAAGCUGGAGGAAGGUGGGGAUGACGUCAAGUCCUCAUGGCCCUUACGUGUUGGGCUACACACGUGCUACAAUGGCAUCUACAACAGGAAGCAAAACGGCAACGUUAAGCAAAUCCCGAAAAGAUGCCUCAGUUCGGAUUGCACUCUGCAACUCGAGUGCAUGAAGCUG